Non-coding RNA from Drosophila suzukii, 386 nucleotides. The record is from RefSeq and is a predicted model, not a curated record. Lineage: Eukaryota; Metazoa; Arthropoda; Insecta; Diptera; Drosophilidae.
CCCGGACAGGUGAAACCGGUUUCAACCGUCUACGGUUUUUCUUUGGCAAACAAAUCGCUUGACUGCAACGGCAACAGGAAGUUAUCAGGAAAUAUGUUUUCCUUCAUGAAAUUCGAAUAUAAAGGGCGUAGCUCAGUGAAAUGAUAACAGUGAAAGUAAACAGAUGGAUGGGUGAGGCGAUUACAGAUCGGAGGAGGAUGAGAGCUGCACGCAAAUCCAAUGAUCCAUCCGAUGAUGACUCACUGGAGGAUCUCGUGCUGCCAGUCCAUCAGAUUCAGUUGCGGCUUGAAGCGCUUCAGAGGACCUGAAAAAUAAAAUAUUAAAUUAAAGUAAAUGAAGUCCAAAACGAGAGAUUUCGAGUCUACAGGAAUUUGGUUAAUGUGUAG